Molecule: ribosomal RNA, 522 nt
Filed under: uncultured bacterium
Lineage: Bacteria
Description: bacterial SSU rRNA
Rfam family: Bacterial small subunit ribosomal RNA
Source: RNAcentral
UGUCUGGAAUCCCGAAGAGAUUUGGGAGUGCUCACAAGAGAACCGGAACACAGGUGCUGCAUGGCUGUCGUCAGCUCGUGUCGUGAGAUGUUGGGUUAAGUCCCGCAACGAGCGCAACCCUUGCCAUUAGUUGCUACAUUCAGUUGGGCACUCUAAUGGGACUGCCGGUGACAAACCGGAGGAAGGUGGGGAUGACGUCAAGUCCUCAUGGCCCUUAUGGGUAGGGCUUCACACGUCAUACAAUGGUCGGGACAGAGGGUUGCCAAGCCGCGAGGUGGAGCCAAUCUCAGAAACCCGAUCGUAGUCCGGAUCGCAGUCUGCAACUCGACUGCGUGAAGUCGGAAUCGCUAGUAAUCGCGGAUCAGCAUGUCGCGGUGAAUACGUUCCCGGGUCUUGUACACACCGCCCGUCACACCAUGGGAGUGGGUUUCACCAGAAGUAGGUAGCCUAACCGCAAGGAGGGCGCUUACCACGGUGAGAUUCAUGACUGGGGUGAAGUCGUAACAAGGUAAGCGUAGUGCU